AUGCAUUCUCCUUCACUUGUUAUAACUAAAUAGCUAUUUGUUACUUCUAGUAAAGUGGUAGCCAGCAUAUAGUAUAGAUAGUGGUGGGAUGGAGUCAGCUAGGACCAGCUGUGAGAGGUGAUUUUUUUUUUUUUUUUGGAAUUCUGCAAGGCAAUAAGCAUAGUGAUUAUUAAAAAUUAAAUUAUAUAAAAUUUCAGGAGUUACCGUCGUGGCUCAGCAGAAACAAAUCUGACUAGUAUCCAUGAGGAUGAAGGUUCAAUCCCUGGCCUAGCUUAGUGGGUUAAGGAUCUGGUGCUGCCAUGAAUUGUGUUGUAGGUCUCAGAUGCGACUUCAAUCUGGCAUUGCUGUGGCUGUAGUGUAGGCCAGCAGCUACAGCUCUGAUUCAACCCUUAGCCUGGGAACCUCCAUACACCAUGGGUGUGGCCCUAAAAAAAGACACACAAAAUCAAUAAAUUGCAUUAAAAUCAAAGGUAACAAAUCCUCAAAAUUCAUCACUUUCUAGUAAUUUUACUAUUAUCUAUACUAUUGUAUGUGGGGUAGGAGUACUGUUUAAUGGUUUCCUAUGGUAGAUUUCUUUCCAACUUGGUGUUCAGUGAUGUUGUAUUGGUAGCUUGAAAUCAGUCAUGGUGAGAAGAUUUACACCACAGAAAUUGGAAAAUAUUAUAAAUCCAGGUUUUCCCCUGAAGAGCCUGUUAAACAUUUUUUAGAAGACCCAAUGUGUAUGAGCCAUUUUCUCAGGUUCUCCCUAUCCCUGAAGAUAAUUGUUCUUGUUCUGCAAUAACAACAUUCUCCUAUCUCAGGAGCUUUUGAAUCUCCAGGGCUAAAUUGCUUGCAUUUUAUAUAAUGCCAUAGCAAGAUAAGAGCAAGUAUUUCUUCAACACUCACAAUCCACAGUGGGAAACAGAUAUGUUUCCCAUUAUUCUGCCUUUUGAGAAGCUUGAUGAUGGAGCUGAUGCUGUGUUCAGAUUAACUACGUGAGCAGAAGAGGUGGGGGAAGGGGGAAGACAAAUGACUUGUUUUUUCAAUACAGCUGCUCCAGCUAUUGUCUUUAAUUACACUCCUGCUGGACUGAUAAGGGAACUGGCUUCUGGCAGCUGCCACGCCAUGAAGCUUAAUAUUUCUUUUUGGGUCUAAGUGAUGUCUUGUGCACUAAGGAACAUAGAAAUGAAUUAUUUUUGAGAGUCAUGAUUGGCUGUGUUUCUCCUAUGUUUAGGGCCUUAAUUUCCUUAAAGUGACAUGGCCCCCAUUUGGAAGUUUACUUAUUACAUCUAGUGAGGUAGGAGAUUUUAGCAGUUAAAAUGUUGAUGCAUUUUUCAAGCUUUUCAACCUACUUCUUAUUCCUGUGCCUUUUUACUCGGCAUUUAAACAAUAAGCUGGUAUCUGCUUGAAGACAUAACUGAUAAUUAUCUUGGUGUCUUUCCAGUUUGGCCAGAAUUCAUCUAGGUGCUUCUGAAUAUCCCCAUAAUGCGAACCCAAAGCAAAGACAUAUGAUGUAGAGAGCAUGUGCUGUUUAAUUUUUUUGUUUUUUUGGAUAAAAAAAGAACAGUAGCAGAAUCCCAUGUUUCAGUCUUUUACCCUUGUUAUCCUCACUUCCUUUAUGGUAAGUGGCCAAAUGGCCAAGGGAAAAAGCAUUAUAGAAAAGCAACAUGUGCUACUGUGUGACCCAAGUGCCAGGAAGCAUGGCCUGGAGAAAAGAUACAACUGCUGCCCUUAUUGUGAGCUGCAGGGUAGAAAUUCUGAAGCAAUAAAAGUAACUGGUGAUUUCAUUUAUUAAAGUGUUUUGAAUUUAGAAUUUAGAAUCUACCAAAUGUGAUUAAAAAACUCUGUUCCCUAUCAGAGUGUUCUAGAGUAAUCUAUACAAAACUGGGUAUGAAAUAAUUAAACAUCUUAAGUGGGAUUUUAAACGGUUUUUCAUAGGGAAUGUCAUUGCCUCUGUGCUUCUGUCCAAGGAGGACGUCACUUCAACUUUCCACUUCAAGCAGAUAUUUAAUCUUCAUGGCAAAGAGCCUUUGAAAUAUGCUAAUCCAGUUGCCCAAACUCAGCUACAAAGCAGGGAUCAUGGAGGCUGAGAGAGCCAGCUGCACGGCACCGAGGGUGGAGGACCAGGGAGCUCCUGUACCAAGCUUGUGCAUAGCAACCCCCAGAAUCUGUGGGAGGGAAGACAGGUGAGAUGGGUAGGGAUUUAGGGUAUAGUAAAAGCCGUCCUUUGAAUGAGUACUUGGCCAGAGACUAAAGUCUUAAUAAUAAGAGUCCGCAAAUAAACCUAAGACAGGCUGAUAUCCCAGUAGAGGACAGCUGAUGGGGUGGGAGCCACAUAUACUAGGCCAUUCAGAAGGGAGUCUAGACAGUGCCACUUGAGAAAGUCUGGCCAGUCUCUGGCCCUGCUAGUUAAUUCAGGCUAGUGUGGUGCAGAGGUUGUGGGCUUAGAAGUCAGAACACCAGGUUAAUAGCCUGGAUCGUCCAUGCGAUAACCAUGUGACCUGGUGUUUCUCUAAUUCAGGUAUGUUAUCUAUGAAAUAUAAAUCAUGAUAGCACACCUCCUGUCAAGCUCUUAGCAAAGUUUCUGAAGCCUAGUAAUUUCUCCUAAAUGUAGCUGCCUGAAUGCUAAUGCAAUUAUAUUAAUUCCAUGGUGAUGUGAGACUGAUAACAGAAUCCACUUAGUAUUUUAAUGGCUUUUAGUAUAUCAGCAUAGUUAGUGAACUAUAUCUUGUUCUUAUUACAAAAUGAAGGUUUAGAAAUUCCCUACAAAUCUUUCUGUACUCAUCACAGAGUUUCUAAGCAGAGGAUCCUUAGGGUGUUUUUCUACAACGAUACCUAGUUCAGGUGGACCCUACCUAACUAUCGGACAUGCCAGGGUGAAAACUAGAGUCACAUAAGCAGCCCCCUUAUAGAAUGCAGGCUUAGCAAAGUCUAUUUUUGUCUGCAUUUGCUACCAGUUGCCUUUGUUUGUAUCGUUGUGUGCCCCUCCUGUGUGAUAAGGCACAUGAGGACAUGUGUGACAGAGCAGGCACCUCUCCUCUUUUCCUCAUUCAUUAAUCAUCCAUGGAUUCAUGGAUUGACUGAUUGACUCAUUCAUGUAUUAAUUCAAAGAUGGUGAUUGACUGCCUUGAAUGCAUCAGUCACGGCCCUAAUCUCAUAAUUAUUUUCAAGAAAGUCAUAUCCAGUAGUGAAGACAGAAAAAGUAAACAGGAAAAUCAAAUCCAGUGCUACUCGCUAAGAAUAACCAUAGUGAAGACAUUUUAUAAUAAUGACUCAAUGAGAGCAGCUCCUAAUCAUAAUCAUAGGUCUUGGGAAAAAUUUUACUUAUACGACAAAUGUUUAUUUAACACCUAUUAUGUGCUAGACAAUCUUUAAAGAUCUAGGCGCAUAACAGUGAAAAAGACAAGGCUCCUGCUGCCAUAACUUUUACAUUAUCCUGGGGUGGGGGGAACAAAAUAAACACUAAAACAAAAAAUAUCAGAUAGGAAUAUACACUCUGUAAAGAAUUGAAAUAGGGAGAUGUUUUAAGGGGACAUUUGGAUGGCUGUUUUGUAUAGGGAAGACAGGAAAGACUCAAUGUGAAGGUGAUAUUUGAGAUGAGACUUAAAUAUUGAGAAAGAAAAUUAGGGGGAGAGCAUUUUAGGCAGAGAGAAAAGCUGGUACAAAUGUCCUAAUAUGGAAUUCCCAUCAUGGCUCAGCAGAAACGAAUCAGACUAGCAUCCAAGAGGUUCGAUCCCUGGCCUUGCUCAGUGGGUUAAUGAUCCAGCAUUGCCCUGAGCUGUGGUGUAGGUCGCAGACGCGGCUUGGAUCCUGCGUUGCUGUAGCUGUGGCUUAGGCCAGCAGCUACAGCUCCGAUUCGACCCCUAGCCUGGGAACCUCCAU
Molecule: long non-coding RNA, 3861 nt
Filed under: Sus scrofa (pig)
Lineage: Eukaryota; Metazoa; Chordata; Mammalia; Artiodactyla; Suidae
Description: lncRNA (ENSSSCG00000055263.1)
Source: RNAcentral